UAACGAAUCUUCCGCAAUGGGCGCAAGCCUGACGGAGCAAUGCCGCGUGUGGGAUGAAGCGUCUCUGACGUGUAAACCACUGUCAGGGGUUAGAAACAAUGAUCAACCCCAAAGGAAGUGGCGACUAACUCUGUGCCAGCAGUCGCGGUAAUACAGAGGCCACAAGCGUUAGUCGGAAUCACUGGGCUUAAAGGGUGCGUAGGCUGGUCCGCAAGCGUCUUGUGAAAGCCCUCGGCUCAACCGAGGAACAGCAGGGCGAACUGCGGAUCUUGAGGCAGGUAGGGGUCGCGAGAACAGUAGGUGGAGCGGUGAAAUGCGUAGAUAUCUACUGGAAUGCCGAUGGUGAAGACGCGCGACUGGGCCUGUCCUGACGCUGAGGCACGAAAGCGUGGGGAGCAAACAGGAUUAGAUACCCUAGUAGUCCCUGAGCGGGCUGGCAAGGCGCAU
Molecule: ribosomal RNA, 447 nt
Filed under: uncultured bacterium
Lineage: Bacteria
Description: bacterial SSU rRNA
Rfam family: Bacterial small subunit ribosomal RNA
Source: RNAcentral